Long non-coding RNA from Pomacea canaliculata, 744 nucleotides. RefSeq lists it as uncharacterized. The transcript is spliced from 3 exons. NCBI's taxonomy places the organism in Eukaryota, Metazoa, Mollusca, Gastropoda, Architaenioglossa, Ampullariidae. The record is from RefSeq and is a predicted model, not a curated record.
GACACGGGGCUCCACUGAAGCUUGGUUUCCUAGUAAAGUACAGAUUUCUUUUUCCAAAAAUUUGCAUUAAUUAAUUUUGCCACCUUCGAAUUAUUUCCAGUCCUGUGCACACUUGUGAAAAUGUAAACACACCGAUGGUGAGUUAAGAAGUUUAGUCACACUCUGGUAUCCACUCCAGUCACCUAACGAAGGAGUCGACAGCAGCACUGGAGAGUAUGUGAGCCUCGAGUGUCGGAACUGGUCUCAAGCCACAUCACUGCCCCGCCAGCAGAGACCGUUGUAAUCUCGGGCGUCCCAGUCCUGCUGUUAUUUCCUGUUGGUCACAUCCGGGUCGUCCUCUCAUCGCCGGUUGAACAGAGAAAAUAGAAGCAGCCACGCACGCGCGGUGCAGCAGCAUUCGUACUUCUCUCAUCCGCUGUGUAAAUGUUUUGAGAGUUGCACGAGCAGCAUCCGUGUUCUGUGUUAUGUUGCAUGGAAUUCCUUGCAGUCGAAGAAAUUCGCUUCUUAAGUGCCAGCAGUGUGUUGCGGCCCCUGGCCCUGAAAACAUUUUGGACACAUUUGUAUCUGCUGUCACAGUUGCCACAGAGGAAAGAAAGACUAAAGCUGAAUUUAUCAGCUGCAAUCUGCUCCAAGAUGGACCGUCGGGUGCUGGGUGGUCUUCGCGGGGUUUGGUAGAAUCCAUUCUGUCGCUUCAGCCUCUCCAACCUCGCCUUGUCCUGGCGCUGGAAGAACCCCACCUGUAGA